GGCCUAAUGGCCCAAUGGCAAGGCGCUUGACUACGAUUCACAUCCGAAAUCAAGAGAUUCCAGGUUCGACCCCUGGUUAGGUCA
Molecule: transfer RNA, 84 nt
Rfam family: tRNA
About the family: Transfer RNA (tRNA) molecules are approximately 80 nucleotides in length. Their secondary structure includes four short double-helical elements and three loops (D, anti-codon, and T loops).
Source: Rfam